Molecule: ribosomal RNA, 677 nt
Filed under: uncultured Antarctic soil bacterium
Lineage: Bacteria
Description: bacterial SSU rRNA
Rfam family: Bacterial small subunit ribosomal RNA
Source: RNAcentral
UUUUGGCUGCACACCUCCUUCUAGAUGCAGAAAUCCAUAGAGUGUUCCUGGCCGACUGUGGGUCACCCAUUUGUCAAAGCUCCAAACGCCCAUGAGUGCAUCCCUGGACCAUUCUAUGGCGUCUACUAAGUAACUAGGCGAAUUCAUGGUCAAUGCUGUUUCCUGAUGGUAUCACUUAUACAAUAUAACUCGGGAGGGCUAAAGAUGAUUAUUUUUUCCAUUAUAUAGUGGGACAUGAAACGGUUUACCAAGGCAUGGAUGUAUAUGGGUCCUGAGAGGGAGAUCCCCCACACUGGUACUGAGACACGGACCAGACUCCUACGGGAGGCAGCAGUGAGGAAUAUUGGACAAUGGAGGCAACUCUGAUCCAGCCAUGCCGCGUGCAGGAAGACUGCCCUAUGGGUUGUAAACUGCUUUUACAGAGGAAGAACCGCACCCACGUGUGGGUGUUUGACGGUACUCUGCGAAUAAGGAUCGGCUAACUCCGUGCCAGCAGCCGCGGUAAUACGGAGGAUCCAAGCGUUAUCCGGAAUCAUUGGGUUUAAAGGGUCCGUAGGCGGACAAUAAGUCAGUGGUGAAAGUCUGCACUCAACUGUAGAACUGCAUUGAAACUGUAGUCCUUGAGUAUUAUGAAGUGGUUAGAAUGAGAAGUGUACGGUGAAAUGCAUAGAUUUACA